Long non-coding RNA from Oncorhynchus nerka (sockeye salmon), 1136 nucleotides. RefSeq lists it as uncharacterized. The transcript is spliced from 2 exons. Lineage: Eukaryota; Metazoa; Chordata; Actinopteri; Salmoniformes; Salmonidae. The record is from RefSeq and is a predicted model, not a curated record.
AGGGUUCCGGUCUAAAGGCACGGUUUUGACUGCUCCUACAGUUUUGCUUCGGUACUGCAGACGAACUGACGCCCGGCCCAGAAAGACAAAUUCCAUACACGGCCACAUAAACAAGUCAAAUAACCAAUAAGACACCACCUACAGCCAAAGAGGGGUGCGUCACUGAUGUGAUCUUCCUGCCUGGGUUGGCAUCCCCCCCUUGGGUUGUGCCGUGGCGGAGAUCUUUGUGGGCUAUACUCGGCCUUGUCUCAGGAUGGUAAGUUGGUGGUUCCUGUCUCAGCCUCCAGUAUUUAUGAUGCAGCAGUUUGUGUCGGGAGGCUAGGGUCAGUUUGUUAUAUCUGGAGUACUUCUCCUGUCUUAUCCGGUGUCUUGUGUGAAUUAAGUAUGCUCUCUCUAAUUCUCUCUUUCUUUCUCUCGGAGGAUCAUGCCUCAGUACUACCUGGCAUGAUGACUCCUUGCUGUCCCCAGUCCACCUGGCCGUGCUGCUGCUCCAGUUUCAACUGUUCUUCCUGCAGCUAUGGAAUCCUGACCUGUUCACCGGACGUGCUACCUGUCCCAGACUUAUUAUUUGACCAUGCUGGUCAUUUAUGAACAUUUGAACAUCUUGGCCAUGUUCGGUUAUAAUCUCCACCCGGCACAGCCAGAAGAGGACUGGCCACCCCUCAGAGCCUGGUUCCUCUCUAGGUUUCUUCCUAGGUUUUGGCCUUUCUAGGGAGUUUUUCCUAGCCAACGUGCUUCAACACCUGCAUUGCUUGCUGUUUGGGGUUUUAGGCUGGGUUUCUGUACAGCACUUUGAGAUAUCAGCUGAUGUACGAAGGGCUAUAUAAAUAAAUUUGAUUUGAUCCAAUGCAAUGAAAAAAAAUACCAACAUUUUGUUUAUUUUUUAUUUUCUAUAAAAGAGAUGAGUUUACUCCAUGAUCAUAACAGAUUUAAUCAUUGACCUCGACAGACCACUCACAUACCAAACAAUAAUCGAGGAAAAUGUUACACAAAACCCCCCAAAAAAAACAAGACCAAAAAUGUAACACAAAAUAAAAUACCUGAAUAAAGCAAACUCUGCUGAGCACAUUCUGAAGAAGAAUCCAUAUUUAUGGCACAUCAUGUCCAUCAGUUACCAUGGGGAUAAAAUAAGGAAU